GUAAUCGGUUCGGCAGCACAUGUACUGUAUGUGGGUCGAUACAGAGUAGAUUAGCAUGGCCCCUGCGCAAGGAUGCCACGCCAAUCAUGAGGUGUUCCCUAUUUUC
Molecule: small nuclear RNA, 106 nt
Organism: Pseudophryne corroboree (corroboree frog)
Lineage: Eukaryota; Metazoa; Chordata; Amphibia; Anura; Myobatrachidae
Source: RefSeq, a predicted model, not a curated record